Molecule: ribosomal RNA, 233 nt
Filed under: uncultured bacterium
Lineage: Bacteria
Description: partial 16S ribosomal RNA
Rfam family: Bacterial small subunit ribosomal RNA
Source: RNAcentral
UGAGUAACCUGCCCUGGACUUUGGGAUAACCCUCGGAAACGGGGGCUAAUACCGGAUAUGACACGCUCUCGCAUGGGAUGUGUGUGGAAAGUUUUUCGGUCUGGGAUGGGCUCGCGGCCUUAUCAGCUAGUUGGUGUGGGUAAUGGCCCACCAAGGCGACGACGGGUAGCCGGCCUGAGAGGGUGACCGGCCACACUGGGACUGAGACACGGCCCAGACUCCGUACGGGAGCA